CCUACGGGAGGCAGCAGUAAGGAAUAUUGGACAAUGGGCGAAAGCCUGAUCCAGCCAUCCCGCGUGGAGGAUGACUGCCCUACGGGUUGUAAACUCCUUUUAAUCAGGACGAAACCCCAAGAUUUAUCUUGGGCUGACGGUACUUUUUGAAUAAGCACCGGCUAAUUCCGUGCCAGCAGCCGCGGUAAUACGGAAGGUGCAAGCGUUAUCCGGAAUCACUGGGUUUAAAGGGUGCGUAGGCGGCGUAAUAAGUCAGAGGUGAAAGCUCACAGCUUAACUGUGGAACUGCCUUUGAUACUGUUAUGCUUGAAUUAGGUUGAGGUUGGCGGAAUGUGACAUGUAGCGGUGAAAUGCAUAGAUAUGUCAUAGAACAUCGAUUGCGAAGGCAGCUGGCUAGACCUUAAUUGACGCUGAGGCACGAAAGCGUGGGGAGCGAACAGGAUUAGAUACCCUGGUAGUCCACGCCCUAAACGAUGCUUACUCGUUGUUUGACUUUCGGGUUGAGCGACUAASGGAAACCGUUMAGUMAGCCACCUGGGGAGUACGUUCGC
Molecule: ribosomal RNA, 551 nt
Filed under: uncultured Bacteroidota bacterium
Lineage: Bacteria; Pseudomonadati; Bacteroidota
Description: bacterial SSU rRNA
Rfam family: Bacterial small subunit ribosomal RNA
Source: RNAcentral